AACGAACGCUGGCGGCAUGCCUAACACAUGCAAGUCGAACGAGACCUUCGUGUCUAGUUGCUCUCGGGUGCGUCACGCGUCGGACCCUUCCCUUAGGUUCGGAAUACUUCCCUUUCCGGGGUGCUCAUACCGGUUAAUUUCUUCGGACCACAGAUUUAUCGACUUUGUGUGGGCCUGCGUUGGUUUAGCUUGUUGGUAUGGUAAAAGCCUACCAAGGCGUCGAUCCAUAGCUGGUCUGAGAGGAUGAUCAGCCACACUGGAUGUGAGACCCGGCCCAGACUACUACGGGAUGCAGCAGUGGGUAAUACUGGACAAUGGGCGAAAGCCUGAUCCAGCAAUGCCGGGUGAGUGAUUAAGGCCUUAGAGAUGUACAGCUCUUUUAUCCGGGGUGAUAAUGACAGUACCGGGAGAAUAAGCACCGGCUAACUCCGUG
Molecule: ribosomal RNA, 433 nt
Filed under: uncultured bacterium
Lineage: Bacteria
Description: partial 16S ribosomal RNA
Rfam family: Bacterial small subunit ribosomal RNA
Source: RNAcentral